Molecule: long non-coding RNA, 1022 nt
Organism: Hydractinia symbiolongicarpus
Lineage: Eukaryota; Metazoa; Cnidaria; Hydrozoa; Anthoathecata; Hydractiniidae
Exons: 3
Source: RefSeq, a predicted model, not a curated record
UAAUAAUAAUAAUAAUAAUAAUAAUAAUAAUAAUAAUAAUAAUAAUAAUAAUAAUAAGAAUAUGCUUUUUCAUUUUCGGAUAGAUUUGCAUCACUUUUCGGAUAGAUUUGCAUCGUUCGGAUAGACUUGCAUCGGUACCGGAUAGAUUUGCAUCGCUAUCGGAUAGAUUUGCAUCGCUAUCGGAUAGAUUUGCAUCGCUAUCGGAUAGAUUUGCAUCAUUUCCGGCUGCCGUAGAGUUUUUUACAUUUCUAAAAUGGCACCUUGAGGCGGACGACGAGCAAGAGCAGCAUUGCACUGCUACUACUGUAUAUAGCUAUAUAAAUUGUUACUGCUUAUUUAUUUUAGACUGUUAUCCUGAUUUAUAUAUUUUGUUGAACACAUGACAAUUCGGCUAAUGGCUUAUCAUUGUAGUAAAGUGAGACGUAGAUAUGCGUAGUGUACCCUCCAAAUGUUUUAACCGUUCAAUUGGAAAUUGGUAGAACCGUUGGAAAUUGUUAAAAAUAUGUCGCCAUUGUUACGUCAGCGUGCAGCAAGAUUAAUUAUACUUGAAAAGAAUGGCGUCAAAUACUAUGACAUAUUGAAAACUGUUUACAAUAAACGAAGAAAAUGUCCAAAUUGUUACAUAUUUUUUCCAUAAUAACCUUCUUGCUUAUCAACUACCAUGUCAGACCAACAAUGCGUACGAACACUCAUUUGCAAUCCUGUUUUUAUGUAGCUACUUGUUUUUUAGGACGACAGCUUUAUGUAAAUGGACAGGUAGGCCUAAUUGCAACGCACGACAUGGUCUACAGACGGUAUCCUACAUUGGAGCAAAUUUGUUGCUAAAAGUCUGAACUCAUUUUCUUCACUGCCUAAAGUCUUAUUAUUUUUAUUAUUUUUAUUAGAUUCAUUUAUUUUUAUAUCGUCAAUUUAGCCAAUUGUAGUCGUACCCUUUUAUCAAAUCCUAUACAGGACUUUAUACGAGAGGCGACAUUUCCAUUUGUAUCCUUUUAAUUGACGUUAAAUAAAUUUAUGUCUGUUAA